Molecule: ribosomal RNA, 320 nt
Filed under: uncultured eukaryote
Lineage: Eukaryota
Description: partial 18S ribosomal RNA
Rfam family: Eukaryotic small subunit ribosomal RNA
Source: RNAcentral
CCCCUAGAUGUUCUGGGCCGCACGCGCGCUACACUGAACAGUUCAACAAGUCUUAACCUUGGCCGAUAGGUCUGGGUAAUCUUUGAACGCUGUUCGUGAUUGGGAUAGACCUUUGCAAUUAUGGGUCUUCAACGAGGAAUUCCUAGUAAACGCAAGUCAUCAGCUUGCAUUGAUUACGUCCCUGCCCUUUGUACACACCGCCCGUGGCACCUACCGAUUGAAUGGUCCGGUGAAAUCUCGGGACGGCGGCUUGGUCGCUUGCGUCCGACUGCUGAAACUUGAUUAAACCAUAUCAUUUAGAGGAAGGUGAAGUCGUANCA